CAGUUUCCUCUUCCCAGACGCCCCCAGCCCCGUUUCCCUGAACGACUGUUGGGUGUCCCGACGGCUCCUGUGGCUGGCAGAAAGAGGAUAACAUUGACCAGGUUUGGGUCUGGUCAGAGCCCCCGCCUCCUCAGGGCAGGUGCUGAGUUGUGGAAAUUUGAGGGGCCCAUUUUCCUGUUGAGUUUUCAAACUAAGUCAGACUGCUGCUUCUGCUUCUCUGACGGGCUUCAGCUGGGAACAGAUUAACUAGGUUGCUAAAGGAACAAAUAUUUCUUCCGUGCACUGAAGACAGGCAGGAAGACAACAGAUAACGUACCUGCAGUGGAGAGGUUAAGCUCCUGUACGGAGGCGUAAUUCAUAAAUAGAUAAAUAUAGGAAAGGACAACAAAGAAAAUAGGGAUAGAAUAACGGGCAGAGAAUUAAGAGAUGAUGUCAGGUGAUUAGUUUUCUCAUCUAAAAGCUUGAAAAUCCUGCAUGUUUGUGGAGUGGUCAAACAGGUGGUGAAGAGGGCAAACUAUUUGAUUCUACAAUAGCUGAUGAGGGAACAUGGACUUUGGAGGACAGAAAAAUGGUUCGUAUUGUUCUUACAAAGACAAAGAGAGAUGCAGCAAAUUGUUGGACUUCUCUACUAGAAUCUGAAUAUGCAGCGG
This 650-nucleotide small RNA is filed under the name Pan troglodytes (chimpanzee). RNAcentral describes it as "processed transcript". The record is from RNAcentral. Lineage: Eukaryota; Metazoa; Chordata; Mammalia; Primates; Hominidae.